Molecule: ribosomal RNA, 501 nt
Filed under: uncultured bacterium
Lineage: Bacteria
Description: partial 16S ribosomal RNA
Rfam family: Bacterial small subunit ribosomal RNA
Source: RNAcentral
GACGAACGCUGGCGGCGUGCCUAACACAUGCAAGUGGAGCGACGAACCAGGGCUUGCCCUGGGGCAAAGCCGCGAACGGGUGAGUAACACGUGGGUAACCUGCCCCGAUGACCGGGACAACCCGAGGAAACUCGGGCUAAUACCGGAUGUGCUCUUCACACAUCAGUGUGUCGAGUAAAGGAAGCUUCGGCCUCCGCUUCGGGAGGGGCCCGCGGCCCAUUAGCUAGUUGGUGAGGUAACGGCUCACCAAGUCUGCGAUGGGUAGCUGAUCUGAGAGGAUGAUCAGCCACACUGGAACUGAGACACGGUCCAGACUCCUACGGGAGGCAGCAGUGAGGAAUAUUGCGCAAUGGAGGAAACUCUGACGCAGCGACGCCGCGUGAAGGAUGAAGGCCCUCUGGGUUGUAAACUUCUGUAGAGAGGGAAGAAUUUCCCGUUUCGCGGGAUUGACGGUACCUCUAAAGUAAGGGUCGGCUAACUACGUGCCAGCAGCCGCCGUAA